RNAcentral lists this transfer RNA (81 nucleotides) under Paractinoplanes toevensis. RNAcentral's name for it is "Actinoplanes toevensis tRNA-Ala". Lineage: Bacteria; Bacillati; Actinomycetota; Actinomycetes; Micromonosporales; Micromonosporaceae. The record is from RNAcentral.
CCCGUCCGAGGUGGUGGCGACCAGCCGCCGGUCCGCCAGCAUCGGGGCGACCUGCAGUUCCAGCCGGCGCGGGUGGGACCA